RNAcentral lists this ribosomal RNA (666 nucleotides) under uncultured fungus. Its description in RNAcentral is "eukaryotic LSU rRNA". The stretch from base 263 to 416 matches the Rfam family "5.8S ribosomal RNA". Lineage: Eukaryota; Fungi. The record is from RNAcentral.
UUGGUCAUUUAGAGGAAGUAAAAGUCGUAACAAGGUUUCCGUAGGUGAACCUGCGGAAGGAUCAUUAGCGAAGCUCGGAAUGCGUGUCCGGUCUGAUGCUGCCCAGCAAUGGGAUGUGCUCGUCUGGAUGCGUGUCCCUUCUCUAUUCCACCCCUUUGUGAACCAAGUGUGCGAGCCGAAGAGAGAUCGGAGGCUCGCAUGCAACCCUUAACAUACCCCAAUGAAGUAUCAGAAUGUACCUUGCGUUAACUCGCACAAAUACAACUUUCAACAACGGAUCUCUUGGCUCUCGCAUCGAUGAAGAACGCAGCGAAAUGCGAUAAGUAAUGUGAAUUGCAGAAUUCAGUGAAUCAUCGAAUCUUUGAACGCACCUUGCGCCCCUUGGCAUUCCGAGGGGCACGCCUGUUUGAGUGUCGUGAACUCCUCCACCCUCUACCUUUUUCGAAAGAUAUUGGGCUGGGAUUUGGGAGCUUGCAGGUCCCUGGUUGAUCUGCUCUCCUUGAAUACAUUAGCGGAGCCCUUCGCGGCCUUGGUGUGAUAAUUAUCUGCGCCUUGGCUUAGCGAACCUAUAGGGACUUGCUUACAACCGUCUCGCAAGAGACAAUCACUUCAAACUUGACCUCAAAUCAGGCGGGACUACCCGCUGAACUUAAGCAUAUCAAUAAG